GCACAAUAAAGCAAAGGGCAAUAAAAUGAGGUAUGCCUGUCUAUGGCCAGGGACUGGAUACAGGACUGUCAUCUCCAUGAUAUGAAGCAUGGUGGAUAUAUAGGCUUGGUUAAAAACUUGUUUACUCCUAAAGCCAUGAAACAAAAACAGGAUGCUAAGGAAAAAGCAAACUAUCAGAGCAUAGGUAAGAAUUCUUGAAAAGAAAAUACCCGAUUGUAAAAAUGAGAGAAGGCCAUGGUAGAAUUAAAACAUAAAGUUGAAGAAAUUUCUCAGAAAAUAGAAU
This is a long non-coding RNA of Herpailurus yagouaroundi (jaguarundi), 283 nucleotides long. RefSeq lists it as uncharacterized. The record is from RefSeq and is a predicted model, not a curated record. Lineage: Eukaryota; Metazoa; Chordata; Mammalia; Carnivora; Felidae. The transcript is spliced from 2 exons.